This 468-nucleotide ribosomal RNA is filed under the name uncultured bacterium. Its description in RNAcentral is "partial 16S ribosomal RNA". It matches the Rfam family "Bacterial small subunit ribosomal RNA", at positions 28 to 507 of the family's 1533-position model. The record is from RNAcentral.
GACGAACGCUGGCGGCGUGCUUAACACAUGCAAGUCGAACGGUGAAGCUCUAGCUUGCUGGUGUGGAUCAGUGGCGAACGGGUGAGUAACACGUGAGCAACCUGCCCCUGACUCUGGAAUAAGCGCUGGAAACGGCGUCUAAUACUGGAUACGAGACGGGUCCGCAUGGGCAGUUUCUGAUAAGUGGUUCGGUUGGGGAUGGGUGCGCGGCCUAUCAGCUUGUUGGUGGGGUAUUGGUUCACCAAGUCGACGAAGGAUAGCCGGCCCGGGAGGGCGACCGGCCACACUGGGACUGAGGGACGGCGCAGACUGCUACGGGGGGCAACGGUGGGGAAUAUUGCACAGUGGGCGCGAGCCUGAUGCGGCGACGCCGCGUGUGGGAUGACGGUCUUCGGGUUGUAAACCUCUGUCGGCAGGGAAGAAGCGAAAGUGACGGUACCUGCAGAAGAAGCACCGGCUAACUACGUG